Molecule: non-coding RNA, 351 nt
Organism: Lolium perenne
Lineage: Eukaryota; Viridiplantae; Streptophyta; Magnoliopsida; Poales; Poaceae
Source: RefSeq, a predicted model, not a curated record
GACGAUGGGGGAUAAGCUUCAUCGUCGAGAGGGAAACAGCCCGGAUCACCAGCUAAGGCCCCUAAAUGACCGCUCAGUGAUAAAGGAGGUGGGGGUGCAAAGAUAGCCAUGAGGUUUGCCUAGAAGCAGCCACCCUUUAAAGAGUGUAUAAUAGCUCACUGAUCGAGCGCCCUUGCGCUGAAGAUGAACGGGGCUAAGCGAUCUGUCGAAGCUGUGGGAUGUCAAAAUGCAUCGGUAGGGGAGCGUUCCGCCUUAGAGGGAAGCAACCGCGAAAGCGGGGGUCGACGAAUCGGAAGCGAGAAUGUCGGCUUGAGUAACGAAAACAUUGGUAAGAAUCCAAUGCCCCGAAAA